Callorhinus ursinus (northern fur seal) is the source of this 689-nucleotide long non-coding RNA. RefSeq lists it as uncharacterized. The record is from RefSeq and is a predicted model, not a curated record. NCBI's taxonomy places the organism in Eukaryota, Metazoa, Chordata, Mammalia, Carnivora, Otariidae.
CCACGGCCCAGCAGCGGGGCUUUCUGGCCCGGCCUGGGCCACCCCGCCGCCCAGCGAGCGGCGGCCGCCUCGCCUUGCACGCGCCACCCGGGCCCAGCUCCGGGAGAAGGGCUCAGCGGGGCCGGGGAGGGCGAGGAGGGAGGAUGGGGAUGCGCUCUGGGCGGGGAGCUUGGUCGAGGGAGGGAGUGACCGGCCAGGUGGGCGCCCUGGGGAGCAGGCCAGCCUUGUGCCGGCACCCUGAGCCCAUUGAGGCUGGAAGACCUCCAGGCCGGCAGCGCUCUAAACACUUUAGCUCCUGUGUGCAUGAGGAGCCCAACGGAGUAAUGGGUGCUGGAAUUAGUACUGGAAUUAAUAUUAAUCAAUGGCAAGGAAGACCAGAACAGAGGAUGGUCCUUUGAUGGAUGGUCCUGUGAAGUAUCUUUCCUUCAAGAAAUGACUCUUUCCAUUCCUUUCAUAUAUUUGCCUUGUCUGGAAGACUGAUUAUGAGCUUCUUAGGACAGCCUUCACUUUAGAUUUGAGGCCCAGAGAAGUUUAGCAAUUUGUUCAAGCCCACACAGCUGUUUAGUGGCAGAGCUGGGCCUAAACUCUUGGACCAUUUCCAAAUCCAGUGUUCACUCUACUGUACCACACUGUGAAACUCUUAUGUUGAUCACUGUGAGUGCUUAAUAAAUAUCAGGUUUCUAACAGCA